RNAcentral lists this ribosomal RNA (634 nucleotides) under uncultured bacterium. Its description in RNAcentral is "bacterial SSU rRNA". The stretch from base 1 to 545 matches the Rfam family "Bacterial small subunit ribosomal RNA", at positions 338 to 873 of the family's 1533-position model. The record is from RNAcentral.
CCUACGGGAGGCAGCAGUGGGGAAUUUUGGACAAUGGGCGCAAGCCUGAUCCAGCAAUGCCGCGUGAGUGAAGAAGGCCUUCGGGUUGUAAAGCUCUUUUGUCAGGGAAGAAACGGUGGAGGUUAAUACCUUCUGCUAAUGACGGUACCUGAAGAAUAAGCACCGGCUAACUACGUGCCAGCAGCCGCGGUAAUACGUAGGGUGCAAGCGUUAAUCGGAAUUACUGGGCGUAAAGCGUGCGCAGGCGGUUGUGCAAGACAGAUGUGAAAUCCCCGGGCUCAACCUGGGAAUUGCAUUUGUGACUGUACGGCUAGAGUGUGUCAGAGGGGGGUAGAAUUCCACGUGUAGCAGUGAAAUGCGUAGAGAUGUGGAGGAAUACCGAUGGCGAAGGCAGCCCCCUGGGAUAACACUGACGCUCAUGCACGAAAGCGUGGGGAGCAAACAGGAUUAGAUACCCUGGUAGUCCACGCCCUAAACGAUGUCUACUAGUUGUCGGGUUACUUAAUUGACUUGGUAACGCGAGCUACGACGUGAAGUAGACCGCCGUGGGAGGUACGGUCGCGAGAAGUUAAACGUACGAAAGAAGUAGUACGACGNGAGAGAGACGACGACGACGACGACGGGAGGGAGGAGG